AAGAGCAAAGAGGCUUGUUUCUUUUCUAUCAGCUAACUUGGCACUGACCACAGAGAUCAGGAUCAAGAUGGUUCCUAUGUCCUUUGAUUGUAUCUGGUCCUUUGAUGGUUCCUAUGUCCUUUGAUUGUACUUGGUCAGUAUCUUAUCUUGCCUGUUUCAUUCAAUCACCCUUUUUCUGAUCUUGGGACAGCAGAUAGUGUCGCAGUAUCUGCUGACAGUUUUUUUUUCUUUUUGUAUGGUAACUAAUAGCACAGAAAGAACUUGAAUCUUUGCCAGCCUCCUACACAUCUUUUGGGGUUAGUAAGUUAUAUAGUCCCUAUAUGCAGCUCAUAGCCAGAGAAGUCCAGGACCAACUGUUCUGAAGGUUUCAUUUUAUGAAAUGAGAGCUUACCCACUCCUUUCCAGCCAAGAGAGAACUGGAGGUGGGUUAAAACCACGAGGCAGAUGACUUGUGAGGUACUGAGAGCAAGAGAAGAUUACAUCUUCAGAGCAUACUAGCAAUUCAAGAUCCUAGAAAGGCCAGCCUGUUAUCCACAGGAUCAGCAUAGGACCUGACCACACGUGCCUGGUACAGAUGGAAGCAGCAGCACUCAUUCCUCUCCUUGGAGUUCACUGGGAGGGAAGAUUGAGCUUUGGAGGCAGGCAAGAGUACGUCUUCUUAUAGGACUGCUGAGAUAUGCAAAGACUGUAGCUGAGCACCAACAACAUCUGGAGAAAUGACAAAAGAGAAAUAGGACAGAGUUUACUUCAGCUAAAAAGAACAGAAGGCUUCUCUAGCACAAGUUUUCAGUUGAAGCAAUCCAACUGCUACCAUAAAGGGUAUGUGUUUUUUAACUCUAUUACUUUGUAGUUGUUUUCUUACAUGC
This 866-nucleotide long non-coding RNA is filed under the name Gallus gallus (chicken). RNAcentral's name for it is "lncRNA (ENSGALG00010008583.1)". Lineage: Eukaryota; Metazoa; Chordata; Aves; Galliformes; Phasianidae. The record is from RNAcentral.